RNAcentral lists this long non-coding RNA (324 nucleotides) under Oncorhynchus kisutch (coho salmon). Its description in RNAcentral is "lncRNA (ENSOKIG00005048535.1)". The record is from RNAcentral. Lineage: Eukaryota; Metazoa; Chordata; Actinopteri; Salmoniformes; Salmonidae.
GAGCUGGCAGAGAAUGGCUACUCCUCGACAGCAGACACAGGUGGCACAGGAGCGGGUACCGGGGAGGAAGACAAUACGACCGGGUCGCCCCCCUCCACCUGCAGAAAGGACAGUGUCCGCACCUGGGAUGAACGGGAGCCCAUCACAGCGCACUUUGGACAGGCAGCGACAACAACUACCACCAGUGGCUAUUCACUGUCAAGGUAGGUCUGACUAUGCGCUGUGGAUAUGUCCCAUCUUUCAGACUGUUCUCUCAGACAUACAGGAUGACCAGGAUCACAUUACAUUGACUGGCGGGACUAAUCCACGCACACUCAUUAUCCU